UCUGUCAAAAAAAAACUGCUGCUUCCACCUCCCACAACCCCGCAUCCUCUUCCUCCAGGCCCGUCGCUCCCGUCUAUUCCGCACUUCCGAUCCAGAUCACAGGUACGCCAUUCUCCAUCGAGUCGUCGACAAGCCCACCUCCCUGCCGUUCUCUGCGGUACACUUCUUCCGCCCUAAUCCCAGGUAAAGAUCUUGCCCAGAUUAUGCUCAUUCAUCGCCACGCUGCUGCGCCGUCGCCGAUCUAGCACUCUGUGUUGGCCUUCAACAACCGCACACCAGGACAAGGGGAGGCUCACCAGCGGCGGCGAAGGUUGCUGCUGUAGGUUCCUGGAUGUCUUCUUUCAUCACAACGACAACAAGACCCUCGUUACUCUCACAUGGAAGGUAGCAAGGUAUCUAACUCCUGUCGAGCUUGUACUGAGGCAUUUUGUUCCUCUUGGUUUAGUCAUGCUUCUUCAUUUCCAGCACAAUGGCCACUGAAAUGCAGCCUCUAGGCACCGUUGUUUGUUGGCGGUUGCCUUGUUGACGACGAAGAAUUCGCGGCACAUGUAGAGUUCACGCAUGAUUGGCUAGUUCAAAGCGCAGUGAUGCUGGCUAUGCAGAAGUGAAAUUAUUGUUGUUUAGGAGUAAAAGUGCAUAUUGUUCUUAUCGAUUAAAUUUGUGCAUGUGUGUAUUCUUGUUAUGCUUCUGUACAAUUUAUUUCGCAAAAAGUAAAUGUUUCCAU
Molecule: long non-coding RNA, 724 nt
Organism: Triticum dicoccoides
Lineage: Eukaryota; Viridiplantae; Streptophyta; Magnoliopsida; Poales; Poaceae
Exons: 3
Source: RefSeq, a predicted model, not a curated record